CAAUCGGUUCUUUUAGGAACCAAUGAAAGAAUUUCAGAAGGAAUUU
Non-coding RNA from Aedes albopictus (Asian tiger mosquito), 46 nucleotides. The record is from Rfam. Lineage: Eukaryota; Metazoa; Arthropoda; Insecta; Diptera; Culicidae.